CGAGGGACGCGCUCGACGGCCGUGGUGAGCCCCGUGCCCGUCCUCUUUCUCCUCCAUCCCCGUUCCCUCAUCUAACCCUAAAUCUCGCCCCAGCCGUCUCUUUCCUCCCCGCGCCGCCUGCCCCGGAUCUGGAGGAAGAGGAGGGAGGCAGGAUCUGGAGGAGGAAGAGGAGAUCCGGGCAUCCCGGCGGUGGCUCGACCGAUGCGAGGUGACGACGAGCUAAUGAGUGCCUCUUCGACUCCUUCCUCCGUCCUCGCCGCUGCCGCCGCUCCGACUCCUCUCUCCGUGCUCGCCGCCGCUGCCGCCUCUAUUUACGUCCUGCGGGAUGACGCCGCAGCUCCGUCUGACCGACCCUCAUGGAGGCGGUGCUGCCGGCCAUCGUUCUCAACCUGAGCUUGCCGCCCCCCCGCUUCUGGUGACUAGCAGCUAAAGGAAGGAGAGGGGAGCUCGACGGACUGCGUCUCAUACAGACCCACACGCCCCCUGACUUCGACAAGACUAGGUGAUCUUAUUUCCUUCCCCUUUUCACAGUGGUCCAGGCAGAGAUGGUACAGUGGAGAAGGUAGAUCAUGUUUGAGCAGACCAACCUUUCUUUCUAUAGAAAUUCCCCCCCAUAUUUAUUGUAUAUCAAUAGGAGAGAAAUGAUGUUGUAGUGAAGUUUUCAGUGUUGUGUAUGUCUGGUCUGUAGGAAUGAUGGUCGAGAAAAUGGUCCAGGCAGAGAUAGACUAACAUAGUUCUAGAUGCUCACACAAUUUCAGUGUUGUGUAUAUGUGGUUGCAGUGCAGUUUUGUUGAUCUACAUGCAUUUUCAGCAUUAUAGUAUUGACCCCUCGUCCGCCCCGGGUGUGGAGGCGAGCUUCCCAGCGACGGUGGCACUGGCUUGAGGCGGGGGAGCGGCUGAUGCAGGGUUGGAUCGAGGCAUGGGAGCGACGGAUGCGGGCGUCGACCUGCGAAGAGGCGAGAGGAGCGGUGGUUGCGGCGUUGAGCUGCGAAGAGGUGCCGCUCGGGCGCGAGACCACAGAGGCGGGAGCGGCUGCUUCGGGCCCCGGCCGUCUCAUUCACCGAUGACGGCCUCCUCGGCCUCAACAUCAAGGGCCGCCUUCUCGCAGAGAAGAACUUCAAGCUGAAGAGGAAGAGCGGCGCCGUCGAGUUCGCCUAGACCAUACUCGACUUCAGAAAGGGCCAAGACGUCAGGAUCAAGGCCGGAUACGAGCUCUAUCGCAAGGUACAAAGCUGAAAUGCUUGAUGAUGCGCCUCGUAUAUUCGAGGCUGUUUUCCAGUGUACCGUUGAGUUCUGCACUAUGCUCUGCUGGAUGUCGCCUAAGCAGAGGAUGCGGCAGUCUCGGCCACAUUUGGUUUUCCUAAGCUAAUGUGGGGUUUCUUUCCCUUAUAUUCUUGCAAGAUGUGGUAAUAUCUUUCAUGCCGUCUCCUGUUCGAUGAAAUGCCUGUGAGCUGAAACAUUUUGCAUUGCAUGUUUCUCUGCCUGUGCAGGUUCUUUGUUGGUUCGUUCGACCAUGCCGUUAACCAACAAGGUUAGGUCUACUCAGAUUGCCUUGGGUUAUUACUUCUUGAUAAUAUAGGCCGUGAACUCCUGCAUUUGUGCGGCUAGGUUGCCUGUCUAUGUGUUUCGGGGUUCACCUUAUUAUGCUUGUCGUGCUUUGUAUGGGUUUUCCUUCAGAUCUUGUUAGAAAAAAAAUGUGUUCUUGAUUACUUAUGCUUGUCUUGGUGGUUUUCUUCCUGGGUGAUUGUGUGCUCAUAUGCCAUUGGUCGAUAUCCAUGUUUACAGAGGAUGCCCACUUUUCUUAGUUUCAUACCGAUUCUUAAUAGUCUUGCAAUGCCUGCUCGGGUUAGUUCUUUAAAUGAGUAGAGAUAAUAAAUGUAUGGGGGUUCCAAUAUCAAAUGUACCACCUGGUUAUUGUUUACCCAACUAAUACGUGCUGCUUGGUGAUAAAGGAAAAACAGCUAGAAAAAUAAUUAAUAAAGUGUACCAUCUGCUUAUUGUUUUAUACACAGUCGCUUGAUUCUUUUGUUCCUCUAUAGGCCUCUGAUCAUGUUUGCAGUGUGCGGCUAGGUUGUUCGUCCGUCUGGGUCGUAGGUUCUUUCCUUCCUGCCAACGGCGGGUACAAGACUCGAGCGGUUAACGGGCAAGCACUAUAUGCACCAUUCAUCUAUGCUAAUAUAGCCUGUUUUGUAAAGCCAAUGUAUGCUAUCACCAAGUGAUCUGAAUAUUUUCUUUCAAGCAUCAAGCUUUCGUGUAAUGGAAUAUAAGUAUUUUAAGUUGAUUCUAAAUCAAUCUCAUACACAUGCUUUGAAUGC
Molecule: long non-coding RNA, 2315 nt
Organism: Triticum dicoccoides
Lineage: Eukaryota; Viridiplantae; Streptophyta; Magnoliopsida; Poales; Poaceae
Exons: 4
Source: RefSeq, a predicted model, not a curated record